UCAAAUCUGAUUCAGCCAGGUGGGCUC
Molecule: non-coding RNA, 27 nt
Filed under: Rattus norvegicus (Norway rat)
Lineage: Eukaryota; Metazoa; Chordata; Mammalia; Rodentia; Muridae
Source: RNAcentral